CCCUUAGAUGUUCUGGGCCGCACGCGUGCUACACUGAGUGGAUCAGCGGGUCAGGUUGCGCGAAAGCGUUUCCUAAUCUUUAAAUCCGCUCGUGAUGGGGAUUGACGGUUGCAAUUUUCUGUCAUGAACGAGGAAUACCUUGUAAGCGCGUGUCAUCAUCCCGCGCUGAAUACGUCCCUGCCCUUUGUACACACCGCCCGUCGCUCCUACCGAUUGAGUGGUCCGGUGAGGCUUUGGGAUCUGAGCGGAAAGAGCGUUUCGCUGUUUCUGCUCGGAAAACUCAGUCGAACCUUAUCAUUUAGAGGAAGGAGAAGUCGUAACA
RNAcentral lists this ribosomal RNA (322 nucleotides) under uncultured eukaryote. RNAcentral's name for it is "partial 18S ribosomal RNA". It matches the Rfam family "Eukaryotic small subunit ribosomal RNA", at positions 1470 to 1796 of the family's 1831-position model. The record is from RNAcentral.